This 107-nucleotide small RNA is filed under the name Marmota monax (woodchuck). The record is from RNAcentral. Lineage: Eukaryota; Metazoa; Chordata; Mammalia; Rodentia; Sciuridae.
GCCAGGCGUAGUGGUGUGCACCUGUAAUCUCAGUGGCUCUGGAGGCUGAGGCAGGAGGAUCACAAGUUCAAGGCUAGCCUCAGCAACUUAGUGAGGCCCUGUCUCAA